UGCGUAGGCGGCUUCGUAAGUGCCUUGUGAAAUCCCAUGGCUCAACCAUGGAACUGCUCGGCAGACUGCGGGGCGUUGAGGUUGGUAGGGGCGUGCUGGAACUCUAGGUGGAGCGGUGAAAUGCGUAGAUAUCUAGAGGAACGCCGACGGUGAAGACAGGCAGCUGGGCCAAAACUGACGCUGAGGCACGAAAGCGUGGGGAGCGAACGGGAUUAGAUACCCCGGUAGUCCACGCCCUAAACUAUGUACACUAGAUCCUGGAGGCUCUGACGCCAUCGGGGUCGAAGCAAAAGUGUUAAGUGUACCGCCUGGGGAGUACGGUCGCAAGGCUAAA
RNAcentral lists this ribosomal RNA (334 nucleotides) under uncultured bacterium. RNAcentral describes it as "bacterial SSU rRNA". It matches the Rfam family "Bacterial small subunit ribosomal RNA", at positions 568 to 898 of the family's 1533-position model. The record is from RNAcentral.